CAUGCAAGUCGAACGCUUUGUGCUUAAUUGAUAUGACGAGCUUGCUCUGAUUUGAUUUUUUGAUUUCAAAGAGUGGCGAACGGGUGAGUAACACGUGGGUAACCUACCUCUUAGCAGGGGAUAACAUUUGGAAACAAGUGCUAAUACCGUAUAAUACCAACAACCGCAUGGUUGUUGGUUGAAAGAUGGUUCUGCUAUCACUAAGAGAUGGACCCGCGGUGCAUUAGCUAGUUGGUAAGGUAAUGGCUUACCAAGGCAAUGAUGCAUAGCCGAGUUGAGAGACUGAUCGGCCACAAUGGGACUGAGACACGGCCCAUACUCCUACGGGAGGCAGCAGUAGGGAAUCUUCCACAAUGGGCGCAAGCCUGAUGGAGCAACGCCGCGUGUGUGAUGAAGGGUUUCGGCUCGUAAAACACUGUUAUAAGAGAAGAACGGCACUGAGAGUAACUGUUCAGUGUGUGACGGUAUCUUACCAGAAAGGAACGGCUAAAUACGUGCCAGCAGCCGCGGUAAUACGUAUGUUCCAAGCGUUAUCCGGAUUUAUUGGGCGUAAAGCGAGCGCAGACGGUUAUUUAAGUCUGAAGUGAAAGCCCUCAGCUCAACUGAGGAAUUGCUUUGGAAACUGGAUGACUUGAGUGCAGUAGAGGAAAGUGGAACUCCAUGUGUAGCGGUGAAAUGCGUAGAUAUAUGGAAGAACACCAGUGGCGAAGGCGGCUUUCUGGACUGUAACUGACGUUGAGGCUCGAAA
Molecule: ribosomal RNA, 748 nt
Filed under: Weissella hellenica
Lineage: Bacteria; Bacillati; Bacillota; Bacilli; Lactobacillales; Lactobacillaceae
Description: bacterial SSU rRNA
Rfam family: Bacterial small subunit ribosomal RNA
Source: RNAcentral